This 1274-nucleotide long non-coding RNA is filed under the name Bos indicus x Bos taurus (hybrid cattle). RNAcentral describes it as "lncRNA (ENSBIXG00000008164.1)". The record is from RNAcentral. Lineage: Eukaryota; Metazoa; Chordata; Mammalia; Artiodactyla; Bovidae.
CAUUUUCCUAGUGGAUUUGCUCAUGGAUGGAUGCCUCCCUCCAGCAGUCUGGAUGGGAUGCCAGCAGGGUCCAGCUUCACAAAGGUGGAACUACAGCGCAGCUCUGUGGUGUCAAGUUUGCCCACAGAUGAGGGCCUGCUUUCUGCAAGUGAUCUCUGCUGGUCAUUCCUAGAACUCUCCCGCGCCGUGACCUUCAGGAAGGCACACAGAAAAAUAAUGAAUACCACUUUCCCUGGAGUGAUUGUCUGGCAGCAAUGGAGGAUGGAGCAAAUGACUUGCUGCUGGAGUUUCAGAGUGGAAAGGAAACACCACAUCAUGAAAUACUCAUGGGACUCUAAGUGGAAAGGGUCUCUUACUCCACACUUGAUUGCCAAUUGAGAACAUUCCUUCUGCUCGGAGAAAUCUGCAUGAUCAAGCCAGAGUUCACGAUCUUUUCAGGCUGUAAAUGUAUUGGGUUGGCCAAAAAGUUCAUACAGAAAUGGAGUCACUUUUUUUUUUUUUAAUGUCUUCUCUUGACUGCAGUCUUCAUGCUAAACAUUUGGUUCCUUCCUUUUUAUCUCUUUGAAAAAAAUAGAGCAACAUACCUGAAGAUUCUCUGAUUUUAAUUAUCCAGGAAAAAAAUAUUGGGUAUUGACUGUAACUCAACCACAUUAUUUUUUCUUUAGUGUUCAUAGACACCUAAGGGAGUAGGUAUUAUCAUCAGCUUGGAAAUAAGGGACCUGGUGCUUAAAGAAUUUGUGUAUCCAAAGUCACACAGGAAUGGAUGCGUCUGUCAACUUGAAAGUACAUUAUCUUUUCCCUGCGCUGUGCUCCUAAACACUGUAGAGAGACAAGCAGCUGACAGUGUUACUGUAGGGAAAUUUAUGACGACAUAGAGAUGUUAUACUAAGCUGCUAAGCUCUUAGAGUUACCAGGCCUGGGUGAUACUUUCUCAGUCUCUCUUCCAGAGUCUCACAGGGACUUAAUGUCCUACUGCUCUCUUUGUUUUUUAUUCCUGAGAGUAUUUUCACGACCUCAUUUCAAAAGGGGGAGAACAGAGUAUAGAGAAGUUUAGAAUUUAAUAACCUAACAAGGGUCUUAGAGGGAUUUCUGGAAAAUGCAUCUAGUUGUUUUAAUCAGUGAUAACUAAGGUGUCAAGAUUAUGAAAAAAAAUUUCUAAUUCUCAAGCAGGGAUUCUAGACAAAAGGAUUCUAAUUCUGCAGUUAGGGGUUAAGCUAUGGGCUUUUACUACCACUAGAGUCCAUUAAUAAAGAUGGAAAAGAACCAUAAUUUCA